GACGAACGCUGGCGGCGUGCUUAACACAUGCAAGUCGAACGGAAAGGCCCUGCUUUUGUGGGGUGCUCGAGUGGCGAACGGGUGAGUAACACGUGAGUAACCUGCCCUUGACUUUGGGAUAACUUCAGGAAACUGGGGCUAAUACCGGAUAGGAGCUCCUGCUGCAUGGUGGGGGUUGGAAAGUUUCGGCGGUUGGGGAUGGACUCGCGGCUUAUCAGCUUGUUGGUGGGGUAGUGGCUUACCAAGGCUUUGACGGGUAGCCGGCCUGAGAGGGUGACCGGCCACAUUGGGACUAGGAUACGGCCCAGACUCCUACGGGAGGCAGCAGUGGGGAAGAUUGCACAAUGGGCGGAAGCCUGAUGCAGCAACGCCGCGUGCGGGAUGACGGCCUUCGGGUUGUAAACCGCUUUCGCCUGUGACGAAGCGUGAGUGACGGUAAUGGGUAAAGAAGCACCGGCUAACUACGUG
Molecule: ribosomal RNA, 468 nt
Filed under: uncultured bacterium
Lineage: Bacteria
Description: partial 16S ribosomal RNA
Rfam family: Bacterial small subunit ribosomal RNA
Source: RNAcentral